AUUGCCACUAAUACCACUUUCCUAAUACCACUUUUCAACUUUACACUUUUCAAAUUUACCAUUAAAAUUUUAAUGGCUAAAGUACCAUUAUACCCCUCAUUUCAUUAAUUUAACCUAGAUCUAUUCUUCUCCAAAUGUCUGUCACGAGAUGAAACUGAGAUCAAAUUGAGACGAGCUCCAACGAGAUCUCCGGCAAACUCGGCGAUCUCCGGCGAAUUCGGCGAUCUCCGGCGAACUUGGCGAUCUCCGGUGAACUCGACGAUCUCCGACGAACUCGACCGGAUUGGGAGAGCGUGGCGGCGAGUGGACAUCCCGCCGUUCCUCCGCCGGCAUUAUGUAGUCGUAGUAAUCAUCCGAUGCUAAAUCGGUCACGUUCGUCACGAAUCGCAUGCCGAGAAGUUCUCCGGCAAAGCUGACAGACUCGACAAGCUCAGACGAACGAGACGAUCUCUCUCCCAACGCCUAAGAAAUACUAACAAAGAGAAUUACAAAUGUGUGUUGUCAGCUUUUGGAUUUAAAGGAUGUUGUGGAGAAUAUGUGUGGUGAUAUGCAUAUCUAAGUAUCUCACUUCCUUAAAGUAAUACAAUGCUACUAUUUGUAGUUUGACUAGCAAUGUUUUAGUAUGUGCAGUAUAUGAGGUGGAACGUUGGUGUUUUGGUAGUGUAACGUUCUAUUUAUACUUUGUGAGUUUAUUUUUUAUGUCUUGUUUUGUGUAUAAUAUCUACAGAAGCAGUGGAGAUGAAUGAUGAGUUUGUUGAGUUACGAAAGCAUACUAUUUUUGAAUCUUAUUUUUGGAAGUGAAUGCUGAUGCGUAGAAAUAAUAUGUGACUGGCUUUUGUUCAGAUUUUGAAAAUUUACGAGGUUGGUGAGCUGUUUGAAGAGGCAAGAGAGACUCUGAAGAAGAAUGUGGUUUGUGCUAUCAAAGAAUUACGUAUUUAUAACGCUUUAUAAAAGUUGCAGAGUUGGCUUCUUAGUACAUUCUUCUCUCUCAUCUUAUUUAGACAUCUCUUAUACUAAAACAAUUGUAUCUCUCUUUUAGUAGUUACAUAGUUGAAGAUAUUAGUUGGACAUGUAAGUGAGUUUGGUUUCAAUUGUUUCUUUUAUAGAAGAGUGAGAUAUGGAGAAGCCUUGAUGUUCUCAGACUAUGUUAAAGCAAUAUAUCCCUUGUUGAAGGACGUGGCUCUUUCACCAGAUAUGUCUUUUUUGUGUUGAUUGUCUUUUGGAGGGAUUUUAGAAAAAUUACCUUAUAAGCCAUUGUAAAUAAAUUUAUAAACGCUUAUAAAUCACUUUGAGUUUCUUACA
Brassica napus (rape) is the source of this 1302-nucleotide long non-coding RNA. RefSeq lists it as uncharacterized. The transcript is spliced from 2 exons. The record is from RefSeq and is a predicted model, not a curated record. NCBI's taxonomy places the organism in Eukaryota, Viridiplantae, Streptophyta, Magnoliopsida, Brassicales, Brassicaceae.